GGAGCUUGCUCCUUUGACGUUAGCGGCGGACGGGUGAGUAACACGUGGGUAACCUACCUAUAAGACUGGGAUAACUUCGGGAAACCGGAGCUAAUACCGGAUAACAUUUGGAACCGCAUGGUUCUAAAGUGAAAGAUGGUUUUGCUAUCACUUAUAGAUGGACCCGCGCCGUAUUAGCUAGUUGGUAAGGUAACGGCUUACCAAGGCGACGAUACGUAGCCGACCUGAGAGGGUGAUCGGCCACACUGGAACUGAGACACGGUCCAGACUCCUACGGGAGGCAGCAGUAGGGAAUCUUCCGCAAUGGGCGAAAGCCUGACGGAGCAACGCCGCGUGAGUGAUGAAGGGUUUCGGCUCGUAAAACUCUGUUAUUAGGGAAGAACAAACGUGUAAGUAACUGUGCACGUCUUGACGGUACCUAAUCAGAAAGCCACGGCUAACUACGUGCCAGCAGCCGCGGUAAUACGUAGGUGGCAAGCGUUAUCCGGAAUUAUUGGGCGUAAAGCGCGCGUAGGCGGUUUCUUAAGUCUGAUGUGAAAGCCCACGGCUCAACCGUGGAGGGUCAUUGGAAACUGGGAAACUUGAGUGCAGAAGAGGAAAGUGGAAUUCCAUGUGUAGCGGUGAAAUGCGCAGAGAUAUGGAGG
Molecule: ribosomal RNA, 644 nt
Filed under: Staphylococcus saprophyticus
Lineage: Bacteria; Bacillati; Bacillota; Bacilli; Caryophanales; Staphylococcaceae
Description: bacterial SSU rRNA
Rfam family: Bacterial small subunit ribosomal RNA
Source: RNAcentral